RNAcentral lists this long non-coding RNA (576 nucleotides) under Cicer arietinum (chickpea). RNAcentral describes it as "long non-coding RNA (CARI_LNC003474)". The record is from RNAcentral. Lineage: Eukaryota; Viridiplantae; Streptophyta; Magnoliopsida; Fabales; Fabaceae.
CUUAGCAUACUCCUCGAAAGGGUUUUCAUAUGUCCAAAAAUGCAUAAACAAUGUUGAAAAAUAAAGUUUUAACAAAUUGCACUGUCGUAGUUGAAUACAACAAAGAAAAUGCAAAUUUUCAGUUCUAAAAUAGCUCUGAAUGAAUCAACACUUCGAAUAUUCAUUAAAUCAAUUAUGAACACAUAAUUACAUCAGAACUUAAUCAACUCAACUUCACACCUCAAAGCAAUUACGACAAAUCACAACAACAACCGAAUAUGUAUAUACAAUCAUCAUAAUAUAACAAACAUAACUCGCAUGCCAAACACUCUAAUGCAAUGUGUAUAUGCCAAAAUGCAUGAUUUCAAAAUUCCAAACCAAAAUCAUCCUCGAAUGGCGUAAAUCAUAAUUGUACAGCCUCUCACAGACCAGUACUAAUUACCAAGGUGCAAUCUCUCACGGAUCAGCACGAUUUACUAGCGUGCAGUCUCUCACAGACCAGCACGACAUACAAGAGUGCAGUCGCUCACAGACCAGCACAAUUUACUAGCGUGCAGUCUCUCACAGACCAGCACGACAUACAAGAGUGCAGUCGCU